AUACGUAGGUGGCGAGCGUUGUCCGGAAUUACUGGGCGUAAAGGGCGUGUAGGCGGGGGGACAAGUCAGAUGUGAAAUACCGCAGCUUAACUGCGGGGUUGCAUCUGAAACUGUUCUUCUUGAGUGUCGGAGAGGAAAGUGGAAUUCCCAGUGUAGCGGUGAAAUGCGUAGAGAUUGGGAGGAACACCAGUGGCGAAGGCGGCUUUCUGGACGACAACUGACGCUGAGGCGCGAAAGCGUGGGGAGCAAACAGGAUUAGAUACCCUGGUAGUCCACGCUGUAAACGAUGGAUACUAGGUGUAGGAGGUAUCGACCCCUUCUGUGCCGGAGUUAACACAAUAAGUAUCCCGCCUGGGGAGUACGGCCGCAAGGUUGAA
This 377-nucleotide ribosomal RNA is filed under the name uncultured bacterium. RNAcentral describes it as "bacterial SSU rRNA". It matches the Rfam family "Bacterial small subunit ribosomal RNA", at positions 523 to 898 of the family's 1533-position model. The record is from RNAcentral.